GUUUUUAUACGGUGGGAGUGCAAAGCACGCUGGGACCGGUUGGCUUGGAUUUGAAGGCAAGCGGGAACUCUCGGCCCUGGCCUGAGUGAGCCAGAGGAGAGGAGGACAGCCCUAUUACUGGUGCUUGGACAGCUUUCUAGCAAGUCUCUUGGAAAUCUGAGGAGGAGAUGGAACUGGCGAAUACUCUAAGUCAAGACGGCGAGUCCAGAAGAGGUGUUUUAGCUCACUUGGAAAGACUAGAGACUCAAGUGAGCAGAUGCCGUAAAAAACUGGAAGAGCCACAGAGCGCACAGGCAGUGGAAAGUGCUCUUGGAACCAGGAUUCAUGAAUUGAGACGUCUGCGAGAUAAGCUGAGGGCUGAAGUGAAACAACAUCAAGCUAGAGUUAAAGCAUCUACUACCAAUGUAGAACCGGACCAAACAUUAGAGAUUACUGAGCAAGAAUUUUUGAAGAGAAAACGGGAAAACGUGAAAGCCAUUCUGCAGGCAUAUCGUUUUACAGGGAUCAGCGGGAAACUGACCAGCCGAGGAGUCUGUGUCUGCAUCGGCACUGCUUUUGAGGGGAAUCUGCUGGAUUCCUAUUUUGUGGACCUUGUCAUGCAGAAACCACCUCAGAUACAUCACCAUUCGAUUCCAGUCUUCAUUCCCCUAGAGGAGAUAUCUGCAAAAUACUUACAGACUAAUAUUCAGCACUUCCUGUUCACUCUCUGCGAGUACCUGAAUGCUUACUCUGGGAGGAAGUACCAGGCAGAUCGACUUCAGAGUGACUUUGCAGCCUUUCUGGCUGGGCCCUUGCAGAGAAACUCACUGUGCAACUUGCUGUCAUUUACUUACAAAGCAGAGCCGGAAGGCCAGUCCUUCCCAUUUUGUGCUAGACUGCUGUAUAAGGACCUCACGACAACUCUUCCAACUGAUGUCACUGUUACUUAUCAAGGGACGGAUGCAUUAUCCACCACACGGGAAGAACAGCGAGCAGCCCAUGAAAAUCUGUUUUUUACAAAGCCCCUACAUCAAGUGUUUACUUCAUUUGCAAGCAAAGGAGACAAGUUGGAUAUGAGCCUGGUCUCCUAGAAUAUUAUUUUCAUUGGGAACACAUCAGAAGUGAGUAAACUAGUACUGACCACAGUUGCAAGCAAGGUCCUGGGAACUGAAAACUGUUGAAAGGCUCAGACUCCUUGCCUGGGGACUGUCCUUGCAAUGAGAACAGACACCCACCUCAUCAGCAUGGUUAGGGACAAGUUUGAGUCUGUAGACCCUGGCAUUUUCGGACAGUUCUCCAUGAUUGCCUGGUCAUUUGUUACAGUGCUCAAGAGUAUCUCUUGAGAUAUUGAUUUGAUCAUACAUUUUAGCUGAAAAUCAGAGUGGUCUGUGGGGUAAUAGAGAGCAUUUUGUGAAAAAGGGAGUAUGUACCAUUCAAUUGAAGAGUAUUUCUAGCUUUUAUGAUACCUUCAAGUAAUUUUGCCUUACUUUCCUUAUCUGCGACUUUUGAAAAGAAAGUUCUUAGAACACUCUAGGUUCGUGAUACGACAUGAAUCAUAUAGUUAAGAAGGGAAGUGUGUUUAAUCUUUGGUUUGGAACGGAAUAUUCUAGGUCACUGCUUUACAAAGAAUAUGGCAUGAGAAGGUACUAUGGAUAAAACAAUCGGGGUUCCAUGUAUCUAAUGUCGUUUCCUAGAACAUGUUAGUAGAGCACAGAGUGUAUUAAGCUCAGCGGUAAAAAAGCAUGAUCAGAAGUCUCCUCAUAACUUGAUCACUGCAGAGGGAAGCGGACCCCCCUCCUUUGUCUCUUCCCUCCCCUGCAAGCUCCAGGCCCUGGCUGCACAUGUGUCUUCCUCAUCUCCUAGUCCAGGUAAAAGGAAAUAUUGCACUUUCUGCUCUCAUGACUAAGGUGACUGGGGUUCCAGAAGAACCUUUCAAGAUUAUCAGGACGAGGCCCAUUUUUCACGUAACUCGGACCACAGAGGCAAGCAGGUCUUCAGAGUGAAAAGCGCUGCUUCCAAGUUCUAGCCGGGGAGCAGAGCAGCUGCCAGCCCUCAUGGUAAACAGAGCUGCGCCACCUGUGCCCCCCGCCGGGCACGAAGGCAGCAGCCUUGUUCCUCCUCUGGUACAUUCCUGCUCACAGCGGCCAUGGCCUCUCUGGGGGAAGGAGGGCUGGUCGGAACUAGGGCUCUGGAAGGAUUAUUCCAGUACUAUGCCUAAGAGCCCUACUCUCUGGGGAAGCUACAGGCACACCAAGGAAGAGUAUGGCCACCCUCAGAGCUCACACAUCCAUAAACAAAUGAAGGCUUGAGAUUUUUUUUAAACCUAAAGUCUAUGUGAGUGUGCACUUCAACAGCUUGGGAAUGUUGGGACUUGGUCAUUUGUCCUUUCCCAAGGCCUUUCUUUGAUUCCAAAAAAUAAACUCUCCCUCCCGUGUGGACUCUCGUGGGGCUCGAGGCCAUU
Molecule: RNA transcript, 2440 nt
Organism: Balaenoptera musculus (blue whale)
Lineage: Eukaryota; Metazoa; Chordata; Mammalia; Artiodactyla; Balaenopteridae
Gene: CENPO
Gene name: centromere protein O
Exons: 8
Source: RefSeq, a predicted model, not a curated record